AGUCACAUAGUGUAGUGGUUUGAACGUGGGACUAUGAUUCUGGAGACCAGGGUUCGAAUCCCUGCUUGGCCA
Molecule: non-coding RNA, 72 nt
Organism: Phrynosoma platyrhinos (Desert horned lizard)
Lineage: Eukaryota; Metazoa; Chordata; Lepidosauria; Squamata; Phrynosomatidae
Source: the annotation of a GenBank genome assembly